RNAcentral lists this ribosomal RNA (484 nucleotides) under uncultured bacterium. RNAcentral's name for it is "partial 16S ribosomal RNA". It matches the Rfam family "Bacterial small subunit ribosomal RNA", at positions 30 to 507 of the family's 1533-position model. The record is from RNAcentral.
AUUGAACGCUAGCGGGAUGCUUUACACAUGCAAGUCGAACGGCAGCGCGGACUUCGGUCUGGCGGCGCGUGGCGAACGGGUGAGUAAUGUAUCGGAACGUGCCCAGUAGUGGGGGAUAACUACGCGGAAGCGUAGCUAAUACCGCAUACGCCCUCCGGGGGAAAGCAGGGGAUCGUAAGACCUUGCGCUAUUUGGGCUGCCGUUAGCGGAUUACCUAGUUGGUGAGGUAACGGCUCACCAAGGCGACGAUCCGUAGCUGGUUUGAGAGGACGACCAGCCACACGGGGACUGAGACACGGCCCAGACUCCUACGGGAGGCAGCAGUGGGGAAUUUUGGACAAUGGGGGCAACCCUGAUCCAGCCAUCCCGCGUGUGCGAUGAAGGCCUUCGGGUUGUAAAGCACUUUUGGCAGGAAAGAAACGUCGCGGGCUAAUACCCCGUGGAACUGACGGUACCUGCAGAAUAAGCACCGGCUAACUACGUG